This is a long non-coding RNA of Apis florea (little honeybee), 1045 nucleotides long. The record is from RefSeq and is a predicted model, not a curated record. NCBI's taxonomy places the organism in Eukaryota, Metazoa, Arthropoda, Insecta, Hymenoptera, Apidae.
AUAUACGCAUGAUAAGCAUAAAUAAGAUUUGAAAAAUAUUUAUUAAUUUUCACGUACGAAAAAAUCAUCAUUUUAGGAAUGAAUAUAUAUUUUACCCGAGAAGAAAUAUGUUUCAACUUGCUCAUGAUACGCAAGUCCGAUAGAAACGAUAAAGCUAAAGCGCAGAAGUUAGCAGCAAAAAGGGAAUAAAACUUGAUUCAUUGGAUAAAAAUGCAACGCAAUGAAAAAUAUAAGAGUUACCGAUUAAUUUGAAAAUCGAAUUAGAGAAAAUAGAGAAACAGGAUAGAAAAUAUAUCGAAAGAGCGGACCAAUGACUUGGCCUUUCAAAGGAAAGACACUCGUUUUAAGCUGCUUGAGACAUGAUAAAAAUUUCAAAAGCAAAACAAAUGAAAGUGACCUCUCGACAUUCGGUCGUCGCUGGAAAAGGAAGAGUUGGGGGGCGGUAGUUAAACAGAAGGAAGGAGAGAUUCAGAAUGAGUUUCUGUCUAUGAGUACGGGUCGAGUGGCACGGCACUGCUUAUUGAUCUCACUACCAAUGAUGCACGACACUUACGAUAACCGAGUCGAAGGGAUUGUGGCAGGCCAGGGCUGCUGCUGCUGAUGAGCGAACUUCACGGGACUCGCGAGCUUUUUCACUCGGCUAUCAUCCCGUACAAGCCCCAAGAUCUGCUCGGCCGUGGAAGGCAGGCGGCAGGGCUGCUGGAAAACGGGGGAGGAGGUAUAUUCGCUCGCCCACCGGAGAAAGGGGCAACGAGUGGGGGUAGACACGGGUCUGGCGGGAGUAUAGUUACUUAGAGGGGAUAGAGGACCGGGAAAAAGAGAGAAAGAGAGAGAGAGGAGGUAGGGGUGCUGUCACUGGAAAAGCAGCCAGGGGUAGGAACUCCCGUCACCACCAGAUAUGGGUCACUUUACGAUCGAUACCGAUAUAGAACCCCUUCAAAGCUAGGGAUCACGAACGAUCGCCUACGUCAUUUUUUACUUCGAUAUAGCACCUUAACCUACAGUUCUUUUUUCGUCUUUUUCAAAUUUAAAAAAAAAAAUAAAA